UGUAUUAAUUUGCUAUGUUACGCACUUGUAAGACGGAGAAAACCUAAAUGUAUUAUGUAUAUUGAAAAUUUAAAUUAGAUCUAUAUUAUCUAUAUAUUAAUCAAAGUCAAAAUCUGUUUGUUAUUCUGUCUAAAAUUCAAAAGGGGCUUAACUGAAUCGGUUGAUUUCGUUUUCGUUGUGUUCGUAAAAGGUUUGUACGUAAGAAAAUUCGAGAAAAACCCAACGGAAGAGUAGGAAAUACUUGCGAGCCUGUUCCACCGACACAACUUGCAAUUUUUAGCUUGGCACUUUUCCUUUUCAUUCCACAAUCGAGAAUUGUAUAGGUACUUUUCAAUUCAUGUACGAACGUUUUGUUAUUACGUUCCCACAAACACUUUUAAAUUUCUUAUCAUGUUAUCUGACAGCUGUUAUCUCUUUUGCAUUUUAUUUCAUUUACUGUUAACUGCUGUUAUCAUCGUUUGAUACUCCGAUCGUCGUAAUAUCUUAAACUUCUUCGCAUUUUACCUACUCUGAAUUUUAAAUGUUCACGUUUUGCUAAAGUGACGAAGUACCUAAUUAAAAAACCAAAGUGAAUUGGCAUUGUUAAACGCAAUCCGUGAAAGGAAAGCUGUGUUGCUCGGCAGUUUCAACUCCACAAACAACGUUGAAAAAGUGUUCACAUUAUUGCCCAAUAAUUUUAGCUCGUCUGUGCUGAUCGACCGUGGCAGUUUACCAGAGACAAGCUGUAUGGAUUGUUAUGGAGGCUUAGCUAAUAAGAAGAAGGUAGAAGCGGAAAUUGCCAACGACAAACUUGACCUUAUACAAAUAGAAAUUUAUGUAAGGAAACUUAAGGUUUUAAAAUUAUAGAUGGAAUUCUGUAUUCCACCUUCAGAAUUCACUGAAGAUUUUUGUAAAAACAAAGUGGAGGAUCUCUAUUUCUAUGAAGUGGCUUAUGAUCCAGUAUCAUUAAACUCUGUAAAAGAACGAUUAUCAUCCAAGAGCAUAAUAUACAUAAUUCACCGAAGUAAUAUUCAAUAUUAAAAGAAUAUAUUCAAGCUCUUUAUUGUAUUACCCUGUUGGUGAUCCAUAUCAUGAAAUGGCUCAGAAACAAGAAAUUUUUUAUUUGAAGUGCUCGCUUAAUGGAUACCACACUACCGAGAUGGUCAUAGUUCCAUAGUACUUCCAAAUAAUAAAAAUGCAUAAGUUUUAAGAAUUAUGAAAUUGUAUGGAAGUAAAUAUUUAGAAUGAUAAGGAAGCCUUAGUUUUUGUAUCUAAGUAUUUUUUAAAAUGUAUUAACUAUUAAUGUAAUUUACAUAUAUUAUAAUAUGCAUUUUUAUGCAGCUCAAUAUAUUUUAUCAAUGAUAAUGAUACCUGUAGCAAACCAGCGUAUUCUUCCCUCGCACGCAAUCGUCGUUCUUUAUCCAAACCUGAAAUGUAUUAACAUGUUGACUGCCAUGCUGCUGCAGGCAUCUGCAGAGUACUAGGAUACAACAGUAUUUUUACAGACACCGGCGGUCACACCUUAUUAUUAUUUAUACGCCAUAUGACCGCCCGCUUAACUUUUCCAUAACGCUACAAUAAUGCACUAAAAAAGUGUCGUGGCAUAGCGGAAAUCAUUAUAAUUUUUUUUCAAACAAUAUUAUAUACAAAUUUGUAAUGACACCUUAAAAUAUACUUAGUGUGCCAAUGAUACAUACUGUGUGACCGCCAGCGGGCGCAUGGCAAUCAACAUGUUUAUGGUCUAAUGUUUGGCACGAUUGACUUACCAACUCUCGUAUCACAAAUUAAUUGUAAAGUUCCUCUUCGCCUAACUGGUUAACACAUUCCAUUUCACAUUCCUACAUCCUCCACAAAUUAUAUUAUGCUCAAUGAACCAUUUUGUAUAUUAAUGUGUGCAGUCCAAUUAGAACCCCUAUUCUGUAGUUUAAUAAAUUAUA
Molecule: long non-coding RNA, 1916 nt
Organism: Metopolophium dirhodum (rose-grain aphid)
Lineage: Eukaryota; Metazoa; Arthropoda; Insecta; Hemiptera; Aphididae
Exons: 4
Source: RefSeq, a predicted model, not a curated record